AAAAUGACGAUGAGAGGAACUAUUACAAUUCAGAUUCCGUGUUAGAGAGCUGGCGGUUGGUGCAAGGCAGUCAUGGGAUAGAAUUAGAACUCUUCCUCGAGUAGCCGACCGAAAUUCAAUUUAUUAAAGUAGGCUCGGACGGAUCUUCCACCGUUAAAAGGAAGAGGAUAUCGGAUCAUUGUGUUGAACCAUCAACAUCUAAGAGAUCCCGUAUCUGGCCGAGAAGACAACUUUAGUUGUCAAUUUGAGUGGUACCGCGAAUUAACCCUUCGUCUCAAGC
Molecule: non-coding RNA, 280 nt
Filed under: Desulfosporosinus acidiphilus
Lineage: Bacteria; Bacillati; Bacillota; Clostridia; Eubacteriales; Desulfitobacteriaceae
Description: T-box sequence
Rfam family: T-box leader
About the family: Uncharged tRNA acts as the effector for transcription antitermination of genes in the T-box leader family. T-boxes are found upstream of many aminoacyl-tRNA synthetase genes and some amino acid biosynthetic genes usually in Gram-positive bacteria. The anticodon of a specific tRNA base pairs to a specifier sequence within the T-box motif, and the NCCA acceptor tail of the tRNA base pairs to a conserved bulge in the T-box antiterminator hairpin.
Source: RNAcentral